This is a non-coding RNA of Podarcis lilfordi (Lilford's wall lizard), 71 nucleotides long. The record is from the annotation of a GenBank genome assembly. NCBI's taxonomy places the organism in Eukaryota, Metazoa, Chordata, Lepidosauria, Squamata, Lacertidae.
GGAGCAUAACUCAAGAGUAGAGCAUCUGCUUUAUAGACAGGAGGUCCUGGGUUCAAUCCCCAGCAUCUCUG